AUGCAUCUUUGUACUAUGAUAUUAAGUUUCAUACGUUUGUGGUUUCCGAACGUAAUAUGCGGGCUACACAUUGAGCUGCCAAGUGUCCUGGAGAACUCAGUGCUCAUCAUGUCCAAGUCAGGCAUAGGAUUGGCCAUGCUCAGUCCUGCGUGCGAGCUGAGUUUUGCAAUGUUGGAUUUGGCCCUGAAUUUCACCUUCAGUCCGUCUGACAUGGCAAUUGGCUCCAUCGUCGCCGGCCUCAAUGUUCACAUGCUCCAUCUUGCUAUCAUACCGCCACAUAGCCCUCCUUACUCAGUAAUGGCCACCUUUGUUACUUUUCUGUACUCAAGCACAUGA
RNAcentral lists this ribosomal RNA (336 nucleotides) under Triticum aestivum (bread wheat). Its description in RNAcentral is "partial small subunit ribosomal RNA". Lineage: Eukaryota; Viridiplantae; Streptophyta; Magnoliopsida; Poales; Poaceae. The record is from RNAcentral.